UAAUUCAUAAAUCAAUCUCUGAUUUAUUCCACAGACUCACUUCUUAGUAUUUAAAAACUAUCCAUUAUUCUUCAAUAACAAAGAAAAACAAAGAGGUAGCACCAAGCUUAAUCUCGGUUCAUGACUAUCACAAUCUGAUACUCAGACUAACUUCUACAACUCCUAUAUACUUACUUCCUAUUCCCAAAUUCUAACCGUAAUCUUAUAAUUAACCAUUUUUAAUAACUAAGUUAACCAUCCGUCUUCCUAAAUUGACUAUUCUAUGGACUAUUAGUCUAUUUUAUCAAUAUCUUACAGAAACGAAUUAAUAUCUAUUCUACAUAAUCCCACUCCUAUCUGUGUAGUGUUCUCGCAAAUACACAAUUGUUACCUAAUUAAAAACUACUUAACAAAAUUCUACAAAGUUACUAUUUCCUUUGGCCCACCCAAUUGUUAUUUGUUGCAUUAUCUAAUGUGGGUUCUACCGAUUCUAGUUCUAAAUUCAAAUCGUCCUCCUCCUCCAAUCUGUCCAUCGACUCCUUCCUCAAUUGGUUUGAGAGAUUUUCAUUAUACUCUCCUAAUUUAUGGGCUUGAGCCUCUAGUUUCAAGAUCUGGGCAUCACGGAGUUCCAAUUGAUGCUGCUGCUGACUCAUCUAUUCUAUAACAUCUUCAAUUGACGCUUGUGAUCGGCUCCUCACUAUUAACUCUUAACUAGAAUUACUACUCUCGACUAUACAAGAAACACAAGAAAUAGCAAUCUCAGAAAAAACAAUCCA
RNAcentral lists this long non-coding RNA (755 nucleotides) under Physcomitrium patens. Its description in RNAcentral is "long non-coding RNA (PPAT_LNC012158)". Lineage: Eukaryota; Viridiplantae; Streptophyta; Bryopsida; Funariales; Funariaceae. The record is from RNAcentral.